Molecule: transfer RNA, 72 nt
Filed under: Camelus bactrianus (Bactrian camel)
Lineage: Eukaryota; Metazoa; Chordata; Mammalia; Artiodactyla; Camelidae
Also listed under: 2 other names
Rfam family: tRNA
About the family: Transfer RNA (tRNA) molecules are approximately 80 nucleotides in length. Their secondary structure includes four short double-helical elements and three loops (D, anti-codon, and T loops). Further hydrogen bonds mediate the characteristic L-shaped molecular structure. tRNAs have two regions of fundamental functional importance: the anti-codon, which is responsible for specific mRNA codon recognition, and the 3' end, to which the tRNAs corresponding amino acid is attached (by aminoacyl-tRNA synthetases). tRNAs cope with the degeneracy of the genetic code in two manners: having more than one tRNA (with a specific anti-codon) for a particular amino acid; and 'wobble' base-pairing, i.e. permitting non-standard base-pairing at the 3rd anti-codon position.
Source: Rfam by way of RNAcentral
GGGUAUAUAGCUCAGUGGUAGAGUGCAUGCCUAGCAUGCAGGAGGUCCUGGGUUCAAUCCCCAGUCCCUCCG